GAUCUUGUGGUGAAGUGGUUAUCACAGAUGUCUAGCACACAAAAGGUCGGGGGUUCGAGUCCGCCGGAGAUCA
This is a non-coding RNA of Parelaphostrongylus tenuis, 73 nucleotides long. The record is from the annotation of a GenBank genome assembly. NCBI's taxonomy places the organism in Eukaryota, Metazoa, Nematoda, Chromadorea, Rhabditida, Metastrongylidae.